Molecule: ribosomal RNA, 253 nt
Filed under: uncultured Arcobacter sp.
Lineage: Bacteria; Pseudomonadati; Campylobacterota; Epsilonproteobacteria; Campylobacterales; Arcobacteraceae
Description: partial 16S ribosomal RNA
Rfam family: Bacterial small subunit ribosomal RNA
Source: RNAcentral
UACGGAGGGUGCAAGCGUUACUCGGAAUCACUGGGCGUAAAGAGCGUGUAGGCGGAUAGAUAAGUUCGAAGUGAAAUCCAAUGGCUCAACCAUUGAACUGCUUUGAAAACUGUUUAUCUAGAAUAUGGGAGAGGUAGAUGGAAUUUCUGGUGUAGGGGUAAAAUCCGUAGAGAUCAGAAGGAAUACCGAUUGCGAAGGCGAUCUACUGGAACAUUAUUGACGCUGAGACGCGAAAGCGUGGGGAGCAAACAGG